Long non-coding RNA from Vicia villosa (hairy vetch), 578 nucleotides. RefSeq lists it as uncharacterized. Lineage: Eukaryota; Viridiplantae; Streptophyta; Magnoliopsida; Fabales; Fabaceae. The transcript has 2 exons. The record is from RefSeq and is a predicted model, not a curated record.
UAUGUGAGGUCUGUGCUUUUCCUUUUUUCAGAUUGUCUUGGAUUCAGAUUAUACCUUGUUUGGUGGCUUCAAUAGGCUCAAUCAUACUGCUGAGUACUUUACCUCUGAAGGAUGGUAUGAUGAUCGGCCUCAAUCUUUUCUCGUUUAUGCGCAUUCUAGAACAACGGUGGUGUAUGCCCUUGUGGAUAAAGAGGAAUCAGAGACAAUUGAGCUGUCGGUUGGAGUUGAGUCAAAGCCAAUUGAGCUGUCACUUGAAGUUGAAUCAGAUCCAAUUCAACAUUCAGUUGAAGUUGAAUCAGAGACAAUUCAAUAGUCAGUUGAAGCUGAACCACGAAGACAAGUUUCUGAGAAGAAUAUAUCAAUUUAAUAAUGACAUGGAUGCAAUCAAGUCAAAACUAGCAACCAACUUAUAUGGUGAUUAGAGCAGGCUCUGAAACUUUAAGGCUGAACUCAAUCAAAAUAUGUGGAGCCCUUAUGUUAACAUUAAUCUUUAGUGGGGCAGCAAACUAACGUUGAAGUGUUUGUACACGUGGCUUGCUAGUUCAAUUAUGUAUAGCACGUCAAGCUUUUUGUUUUUA